Molecule: ribosomal RNA, 497 nt
Filed under: uncultured bacterium
Lineage: Bacteria
Description: partial 16S ribosomal RNA
Rfam family: Bacterial small subunit ribosomal RNA
Source: RNAcentral
GAUGAACGCUGGCGGCGUGCCUAAUACAUGCAAGUCGAGCGAACGGACGAGAAGCUUGCUUCUCUGAUGUUAGCGGCGGACGGGUGAGUAACACGUGGAUAACCUACCUAUAAGACUGGGAUAACUUCGGGAAACCGGAGCUAAUACCGGAUAAUAUUUUGAACCGCAUGGUUCAAAAGUGAAAGACGGUCUUGCUGUCACUUAUAGAUGGAUCCGCGCUGCAUUAGCUAGUUGGUAAGGUAACGGCUUACCAAGGCAACGAUGCAUAGCCGACCUGAGAGGGUGAUCGGCCACCCUGGAACUGAGACACGGUCCAGACUCCUACGGGAGGCAGCAGUCGGGAAUCUUCCGCAAUGGGCGAAAGCCUGACGGAGCAACGCCGCGUGAGUGAUGAAGGUCUUCGGAUCGUAAAACUCUGUUUUUAGGGAAGAACAUAUGUGUAAGGAACUGUGCACAGCUUGACGGUACCUAAUCAGAAAGCCACGGCUAACUACGUG